RNAcentral lists this ribosomal RNA (253 nucleotides) under uncultured bacterium. RNAcentral describes it as "partial 16S ribosomal RNA". It matches the Rfam family "Bacterial small subunit ribosomal RNA", at positions 524 to 776 of the family's 1533-position model. The record is from RNAcentral.
UACAGAGGGGGCUAGCGUUGUUCGGAAUUACUGGGCGUAAAGGGCGCGUAGGUGGCCUGUUAAGUCGAACGUGAAAUCCCCGGGCUCAACCCGGGAACUGCGUCCGAUACUGGCAGGCUUGAAUCCGGGAGAGGGAUGUGGAAUUCCAGGUGUAGCGGUGAAAUGCGUAGAUAUCUGGAGGAAUACCGGUGGCGAAGGCGGCAUCCUGGGCCAAUACUGACGCUGAGGCGCGAAAGCUAGGGGAGCAAACGGG